Neofelis nebulosa (Clouded leopard) is the source of this 395-nucleotide long non-coding RNA. RefSeq lists it as uncharacterized. NCBI's taxonomy places the organism in Eukaryota, Metazoa, Chordata, Mammalia, Carnivora, Felidae. The transcript has 4 exons. The record is from RefSeq and is a predicted model, not a curated record.
GGAACACUGUGUGUGCCGUCAUGGAUUAUACACAUUAGAAAGAAUCCAGCUUAAUGAGAACCCACCUUAUCUGAAGGGAAGCACAUGACCCAAUGUCAGACUGCCUGGCUCAACUACAUACUGGUGAAGGCUUUGGCCACUGCUCUGGAGAUCUUACUCAGUUUUCCUGGCUUGGACUCCCCCAUAUAUACAGGAGGUUUUUUACUUUACAAAAACUAACAACUGAAAAGAAUAUCCAGAAGGAAGAAGAAAUAAAGGAGGCACUAAUGUCUAUGGUUCCUGUAUUUUUCAACCCUAAUGAAUGUUCACCCUGUAGGUGUAAUAUGUUCCAUUAUUUAAAAGAAAAAGAUAAUAAAAAGCAUUUUCCUGUGCUUUUAAGCAUUUAUGAAAAUACA